UUCCAGUAAGCUAACUUUGUUACGACUUACCUCUUCUUUAGAAGAGGGUGACGGGCGAUAUGUACACCUAAGUCCAAUUUCGUUCUUAAUUUUUAUUAAAAAACUACUUCCAAAUCCUCUUUUGUUGUUUCUUUAGAAAGAAGUCCUUUAAUUAGUUUAAUGAGUAAUUAGUUUUAUCUUCUCCAUGAACUUCACCUUGACCUGACUUGAUAAANAUUGAUGGGGCAAAAGAUAAAAAUUUUGCCUUUAGACGGCGGUAUAAAA
This 264-nucleotide ribosomal RNA is filed under the name Aptostichus atomarius. RNAcentral describes it as "partial 12S ribosomal RNA". Lineage: Eukaryota; Metazoa; Arthropoda; Arachnida; Araneae; Euctenizidae. The record is from RNAcentral.